RNAcentral lists this ribosomal RNA (253 nucleotides) under uncultured microorganism. RNAcentral describes it as "partial 16S ribosomal RNA". It matches the Rfam family "Bacterial small subunit ribosomal RNA", at positions 524 to 776 of the family's 1533-position model. The record is from RNAcentral.
UACGUAGGGGGCGAGCGUUACCCGGAUUCACUGGGCGUAAAGGGGGCGUAGGUGGCCGUGUAAGUCCGGUGUGAAAACUCACGGCUCAACCGUGGGACUGCGCUGGAAACUACACGGCUUGAGGACGGUAGAGGGAGACGGAACUGCCGGUGUAGGGGUGAAAUCCGUAGAUAUCGGCAGGAACACCAGCGGCGAAGGCGGUUCUCUGGUUGACUUCUGACGCUGAGGCACGAAAGCUAGGGGAGCAAACAGG